RNAcentral lists this long non-coding RNA (628 nucleotides) under Mus musculus (house mouse). RNAcentral's name for it is "predicted gene, 49164". The record is from RNAcentral. Lineage: Eukaryota; Metazoa; Chordata; Mammalia; Rodentia; Muridae.
UAGUAACGGUUUGCUUGGCAUUAAAAAACUAGCUCAGAGAUAUUGUUGCAAUGAACAUGGAAGUGCAGAUCACCCUUGGCUUAUUGGCUUCAUUUCCCCUGGCUGUGUACUCAGAAGUGAGCUUGCAGAUGAAGUAAAUGCAUGAACUUUCUAUAGCAUGAAGAGGCCUCUGCCUAGGACUUCAGACUCAGCUUGUAUUACAGUUCCUAAGGUUGAUGAAGACUUUAAGAAGUACUUCUGUGAAGCCCUUGACAGUGGACAAGAAUGCCAAGUCAGCCGCUCCUCGUAGAAGGCAAUGACAAUCUGAGGACACUUCAUGUUCGCCUCCUUUGCCAGCACCAAGUCGGCCUCGUCCGAGUCCUUCCACUUCAUGAGAAACAUUAACUCUCCGCUGCUGUCCGUGGCGCCGAUUAUUCGUUCAGGGUCGAGACCUCUGGCAAAGCCCCUUGGUUUGUCAGCAGCAUCUCUCUUCUUCUUCGAUUUGCUAUCAUCAGAUUCACUGUCAGAUAAAGAUUUCCUUUUUGUACCAUCUUUUUCUUUACCAGCUUUUUGAGAAUUAAGAAAUGCUUCAAUUAAUUCUGGACAAUCUAAAUUUUCUUCUGGUUCCCAAGUAUUAUCAGCAUCUGUG